UCCGUAGUCAUUUGAAGUGCAAGGCCCAGACAGGAUUCAUUCGCCAUCGUCGGCGUCAAGACGUCCUCGUGUGAAAGACAACGCUUUUGUGUGUGUGUGUGUGUUUCUCCACAUAGAAAACUACAACAGUGAAACGUGUACAGGUAGGGGAGUUAGAGUACGCUGACAAGCAAGAAGAAUGUUUGAUGAAUAUGGUAAGUGGCUGCUUCUUACUGCGUGUGUUUUGUGUGUGCGCUUUUUCCUUCAUCACUUCGUCUUUCUUUCUUGCAGACGACAAGACUGCGCUCCAGGAUGAAAUGUACGUUUUAAUAGAAGAAUGCAACAGGAAUUUGCUUGCGCUUCCUGAGAAGGCGUUUGUGUGUGUGUUGUGUCGUGCGUUCUGUGUUCCAUGCCAUGUCGUCCAUCGAUAGGAACCAACUCGAUCGCAUCAGCGCUCUCUUGGAUUACCACAAGACAAGCCCUCUCCUUCCAAAACGAAGUCACUCAGGCACACAGCGUAGGACGGGAGGAAUGGAAGGCGUCGCCCCCGGCUCUAAUGAAAUCUAUUGGGACCAAAUUGAAAUGCAAACGAAACCAUGGAAAUAAAAUUGUCGAUUGAAUCUUA
Molecule: long non-coding RNA, 604 nt
Organism: Ornithodoros turicata
Lineage: Eukaryota; Metazoa; Arthropoda; Arachnida; Ixodida; Argasidae
Exons: 2
Source: RefSeq, a predicted model, not a curated record